UUUGAUCGUUUCAUGUCUGAGGUGG
RNAcentral lists this non-coding RNA (25 nucleotides) under Mus musculus (house mouse). Lineage: Eukaryota; Metazoa; Chordata; Mammalia; Rodentia; Muridae. The record is from RNAcentral.